GACGAACGCUGGCGGCGUGCUUAACACAUGCAAGUCGAGCGGUAAGGCCCUUCGGGUACGACGAGCGGCGAACGGGUGAGUAACACGUGGGUGACCUGCCUCUAGCUCUGGGAUAAGCCUGGGAAACUGGGUCUAAUACCGGAUAUGACUCCACGGCGCAUGUUGUGGGGUGGAAAGCCUUGUGUGGCUAGAGAUGGGCCCGCGGCCUAUCAGCUUGUUGGUGGGGUGAUGGCCACCAAGGCGACGACGGGUAGCCGGCCUGAGAGGGCGACCGGCCGACACUGGGACUGAGACACGGCCCAGACUCCUACGGGAGGCAGCAGGUGGGGAAUCUUGCGCAAUGGGCGAAAGCCUGACGCAGCGACGCCGCGUGAGGGAUGACGGCCU
Molecule: ribosomal RNA, 387 nt
Filed under: uncultured bacterium
Lineage: Bacteria
Description: bacterial SSU rRNA
Rfam family: Bacterial small subunit ribosomal RNA
Source: RNAcentral